Molecule: small RNA, 125 nt
Filed under: Marmota monax (woodchuck)
Lineage: Eukaryota; Metazoa; Chordata; Mammalia; Rodentia; Sciuridae
Source: RNAcentral
GCCAGGUAUGGUGGCUUAUGCCUGUAAUCCCAGAGGUUUUGAAGGCUGAGACAGGAGGAUUGCAAGUUCAAAGCCAGCCUCAGCAAUGGCAAGUUGUUAAGCAACUCAGUGAGACCCUGUCUCUA